GGUCUUGCAGUUAAACUUUUAAUAUUAGAUUGCAAAUCUAAAGGUGAAAAUUAAUUUUUCUAAGGCUU
This 68-nucleotide transfer RNA is filed under the name Cryptocephalus flavolimbatus. RNAcentral's name for it is "tRNA-Cys". It matches the Rfam family "tRNA". From Rfam's summary of the family: Transfer RNA (tRNA) molecules are approximately 80 nucleotides in length. Their secondary structure includes four short double-helical elements and three loops (D, anti-codon, and T loops). Further hydrogen bonds mediate the characteristic L-shaped molecular structure. tRNAs have two regions of fundamental functional importance: the anti-codon, which is responsible for specific mRNA codon recognition, and the 3' end, to which the tRNAs corresponding amino acid is attached (by aminoacyl-tRNA synthetases). tRNAs cope with the degeneracy of the genetic code in two manners: having more than one tRNA (with a specific anti-codon) for a particular amino acid; and 'wobble' base-pairing, i.e. permitting non-standard base-pairing at the 3rd anti-codon position. The record is from RNAcentral. Lineage: Eukaryota; Metazoa; Arthropoda; Insecta; Coleoptera; Chrysomelidae.